CCUACGGGUGGCUGCAGUGGGGAAUAUUGGACAAUGGGGGCAACCCUGAUCCAGCCAUGCCGCGUGUGUGAAGAAGGCCCUCGGGUUGUAAAGCACUUUCAGUGAGGAAGAACGCCUGGUGGUUAAUACCCAUCAGGAAAGACAUCACUCACAGAAGAAGCACCGGCUAACUCCGUGCCAGCAGCCGCGGUAAUACGGAGGGUGCGAGCGUUAAUCGGAAUUACUGGGCGUAAAGCGCGCGUAGGUGGCUUGAUAAGCCGGUUGUGAAAGCCCCGGGCUCAACCUGGGAACGGCAUCCGGAACUGUCAAGCUAGAGUGCAGGAGAGGAAGGUAGAAUUCCCGGGGUAGCGGUGAAAUGCGUAGAGAUCGGGAGGAAUACCAGUGGCGAAGGCGGCCUUCUGGACUGACACUGACACUGAGGUGCGAAAGCGUGGGUAGCAAACAGGAUUAGAUACCCCAGGAGUC
RNAcentral lists this ribosomal RNA (465 nucleotides) under Vreelandella stevensii. RNAcentral describes it as "partial 16S ribosomal RNA". It matches the Rfam family "Bacterial small subunit ribosomal RNA", at positions 338 to 795 of the family's 1533-position model. Lineage: Bacteria; Pseudomonadati; Pseudomonadota; Gammaproteobacteria; Oceanospirillales; Halomonadaceae. The record is from RNAcentral.